RNAcentral lists this small RNA (574 nucleotides) under Pongo abelii (Sumatran orangutan). RNAcentral describes it as "retained intron". The record is from RNAcentral. Lineage: Eukaryota; Metazoa; Chordata; Mammalia; Primates; Hominidae.
ACAAAAGGGAUACGGGAAGCACAAAGUAAAGCGGUAGGCUAAAGACAAGCAGAACAAUACAUAGAGGAGAGAAAGGGAGAUGUCAAGCAGCCUGCGCCUGGAAGUUGUUAGUAAAAUUAGGACCAAUGUGAAAUAAGGGAGCUUAUAUUUUCACUUCGUCAUAAUCCACAGAAGAUUAACCUUCAAUGGGAAAUUUUCUUCCAGAAGCUGAAACACAGCCUGUUGUGCCUUACUAUUUUUUGUUAAUUUCUUUCUAUUAUUUUCCUUAUGUUGUUGUUUCCUGUUGUUGUUCCUAUUUGGAAGGGAUUCUUCAUUUUGGACAUUUUCUCUUCUCAUUUCAGAUGAUUCCACACUGCAUGGCCCGAUUUUUAUUCAAGAACCAAGUCCUGUAAUGUUCCCUUUGGAUUCUGAGGAGAAAAAAGUGAAGCUCAAUUGUGAAGUUAAAGGAAAUCCAAAACCUCAUAUCAGGUGGAAGUUAAAUGGAACAGAUGUUGACACUGGUAUGGAUUUCCGCUACAGUGUUGUUGAAGGCAGCUUGUUGAUCAAUAACCCCAAUAAAACCCAAGAUGCUGGA